GGAUCAAUUGGAAACUCUGGAAAAACGAUUAAGGUUCUUUGAAAGUGAUCCUUCUGAAAUUACCACAUUAUCCGAGGCACAUAUUCGUGAAUGUAUAUUUGAAGAAACUUUAAACCGUGUUUCGUUGCCCAGAAGGACACUGGAGGAGGAGAAUAACCAUCUUGAGGCUGUACCUGUCACUUCUCAGGU
Impatiens glandulifera is the source of this 189-nucleotide long non-coding RNA. RefSeq lists it as uncharacterized. NCBI's taxonomy places the organism in Eukaryota, Viridiplantae, Streptophyta, Magnoliopsida, Ericales, Balsaminaceae. The record is from RefSeq and is a predicted model, not a curated record. The transcript is spliced from 3 exons.